This 726-nucleotide ribosomal RNA is filed under the name uncultured bacterium. RNAcentral's name for it is "bacterial SSU rRNA". It matches the Rfam family "Bacterial small subunit ribosomal RNA", at positions 111 to 823 of the family's 1533-position model. The record is from RNAcentral.
UAACACGUGAGUGACCUGCCUUUUAGACUGGAACAACUUACCGAAAGGUGAGCUAAUGCCGGAUGAGUUAUAUAAGUGCAUGUUUAUAUAGGAAAAGUUGGGGAGACCUGACGCUGAAAGAUGGACUCGCGUCCCAUUAGCUAGUUGGUAGGGUAAUGGCCUACCAAGGCGACGAUGGGUAGCCGGCCUGAGAGGGUGGCCGGCCACACUGGGACUGAGACACGGCCCAGACUCCUACGGGAGGCAGCAGUGGGGAAUUUUGCGCAAUGCUCGUAAGAGUGACGCAGCGACGCCGCGUGAAUGACGAAGGCCUUCGGGUCGUAAAGUUCUUUCGACAGGGAAGAAAAUGCCUAUAAGUAACUGUGUAUGUAUUGACGGUACCUGUAUAAGCAGCCCAGGCUAACUCCGUGCCAGCAGCCGCGGUAAUACGGAGGGGGCGAGCGUUGUUCGGAGUGACUGGGCGUAAAGAGCACGUAGGCGGUGUUGUAAGUCAUUAGUCAAAGACUAGAGCUCAACUUUAGUAAGGCUAGUGAUACUAUAAUACUAGAGUAUCAGAGAGGAUUGCAGAAUUCCUGGUGUAGCGGUGAAAUGCGUAGAUAUCAGGAGGAAUACCGUUAGCGAAGGCGGCAAUCUGGCUGGAAACUGACGCUGAGGUGCGAAAGCGUGGGUAGCAAACAGGAUUAGAUACCCUGGUAGUCCACGCUGUAAACGAUGGAUGCUAGGUGU